This 254-nucleotide ribosomal RNA is filed under the name uncultured bacterium. RNAcentral describes it as "partial 16S ribosomal RNA". It matches the Rfam family "Bacterial small subunit ribosomal RNA", at positions 524 to 776 of the family's 1533-position model. The record is from RNAcentral.
CACGUAGGGUGCGAGCGUUGUCCGGAAUUAUUGGGCGUAAAGAGCUCGUAGGCGGUGUGUCGCGUCGGCCGUGAAAACCUGCAGCUUAACUGUGGGCUUGCGGUCGAUACGGGCAUCACUGGAGUUCGGCAGGGGAGACUGGAGUUCCGGGUGUAGCGGUGGAAUGCGUAGAGAUCCGGAAGAACACCGGUGGCGAAGGCGGUCUGCUGGGCCGUUGCUGACGCUGAGGCGCGACAGCGUGGGGAGCAAACAGG